GACGAACGCUGGCGGCGUGCCUAAUACAUGUAAGUAGAACGCUGAAGAGAGGAGCUUGCUCUUCUUGGAUGAGUUGCGAACGGGUGAGUAACGCGUAGGUAACCUGCCUUGUAGCGGGGGAUAACUAUUGGAAACGAUAGCUAAUACCGCAUAACAAUGGAUGACACAUGUCACUUAUUUGAAAGGGGCAAUUGCUCCACUACAAGAUGGACCUGCGUUGUAUUAGCUAGUAGGUGAGGUAAUGGCUCACCUAGGCGACGAUACAUAGCCGACCUGAGAGGGUGAUCGGCCACACUGGGACUGAGACACGGCCCAGACUCCUACGGGAGGCAGCAGUAGGGAAUCUUCGGCAAUGGGGGCAACCCUGACCGAGCAACGCCGCGUGAGUGAAGAAGGUUUUCGGAUCGUAAAGCUCUGUUGUAAGUCAAGAACGGGUGUGAGAGUGGAAAGUUCACACUGUGACGGUAGCUUACCAGAAAGGGACGGCUAACUACGUG
RNAcentral lists this ribosomal RNA (497 nucleotides) under uncultured bacterium. RNAcentral's name for it is "partial 16S ribosomal RNA". It matches the Rfam family "Bacterial small subunit ribosomal RNA", at positions 28 to 507 of the family's 1533-position model. The record is from RNAcentral.